GGAGAGGUGGCUAAGUGGUCUAAAGCGAACGACUCGAAAUCGUUUGACGUUAUAGCGUCCGUGGGUUCGAAUCCCACCCUCUCCG
This 85-nucleotide transfer RNA is filed under the name Prochlorococcus sp. MIT 0602. Its description in RNAcentral is "tRNA-Ser". It matches the Rfam family "tRNA". From Rfam's summary of the family: Transfer RNA (tRNA) molecules are approximately 80 nucleotides in length. Their secondary structure includes four short double-helical elements and three loops (D, anti-codon, and T loops). Further hydrogen bonds mediate the characteristic L-shaped molecular structure. tRNAs have two regions of fundamental functional importance: the anti-codon, which is responsible for specific mRNA codon recognition, and the 3' end, to which the tRNAs corresponding amino acid is attached (by aminoacyl-tRNA synthetases). tRNAs cope with the degeneracy of the genetic code in two manners: having more than one tRNA (with a specific anti-codon) for a particular amino acid; and 'wobble' base-pairing, i.e. permitting non-standard base-pairing at the 3rd anti-codon position. RNAcentral also lists the same sequence under 1 other name. The record is from RNAcentral. Lineage: Bacteria; Bacillati; Cyanobacteriota; Cyanophyceae; Synechococcales; Prochlorococcaceae.